CCUACGGGAGGCAGCAGUGGGGAAUAUUGCACAAUGGGCGCAAGCCUGAUGCAGCCAUGCCGCGUGUGUGAAGAAGGCCUUCGGGUUGUAAAGCACUUUCAGCGGGGAGGAAGGGUCACUAGUUAAUACCUAGUGGCAUUGACGUUACUCGCAGAAGAAGCACCGGCUAACUCCGUGCCAGCAGCCGCGGUAAU
RNAcentral lists this ribosomal RNA (194 nucleotides) under uncultured Plesiomonas sp. RNAcentral's name for it is "partial 16S ribosomal RNA". It matches the Rfam family "Bacterial small subunit ribosomal RNA", at positions 338 to 524 of the family's 1533-position model. The record is from RNAcentral. Lineage: Bacteria; Pseudomonadati; Pseudomonadota; Gammaproteobacteria; Enterobacterales; Enterobacteriaceae.